CAAUUAUUCUACAAUAGAACACUGGAGAGAAAGAGAUGCAGGUGGGGAGGAAGGAGGCAGGAAUAAUGGGAAUAGGUGGAAGAGAAGGCGGAAGAUGUAUUUAUCCGGAUACAAUCAAAGAACCAUUUCAGAGGAAAAAGGAGAAUGGUGAGGCUAUAAUGACAAAGCAGCCAUCUGCACACCAGGAAGGGGCACUCACCAGACAUCAGAGCUGCCGGCACCUUCACCUUGGACAUCCCAGCCUCCAGAACUGUAAAAAAUAAAUGUUUGUUGUUUAAGCCACC
This 284-nucleotide long non-coding RNA is filed under the name Homo sapiens (human). RNAcentral describes it as "HSALNT0061859". The record is from RNAcentral. Lineage: Eukaryota; Metazoa; Chordata; Mammalia; Primates; Hominidae.